UUAUAUUUGAUAUAAGUGAUAUGCAUUUUUAACUGGAAAACCAUAAGUGUUAGAGGCCUAGGGUCUUUUGAUUUGAGGUCCUUGGUCCAAAAAAAUGAAAAUGAGGUCAAGGUCAAAGGUCAAGGUCAUGAUUAAAUUUUUGAUUUUGGCUUGUUAUCUCUUAUUUUCAGAAAUCUUAUAAGAUAUCGACAAAAUAUUUUCACAUAAUUGUUAGUCGCGACAUGUAGUUACACAUAAAUUUUAGUCGAAAGGGUACGUAAACAUUUGCUGCGAGUUUUUCCCCCUUUUAUAUCUAAUAUCAGUCGUAUGGUAAUAUAACUCAUUAACAAUAUAAAGUAAAGACCUAGAGUCUUUUGAUUUGAGGUCCUUGGUUCAUGACCUUGAAAUUGAGCUCAAGGUCAUAUGUUAAUUUAACGUUCUAGAUUUUGACCUUUGCUUUUACCUCAUAUGUAUUCAUGUUAAAGCUAUUAGACUUUUUGCAUUAGGUUGCAAGCAGUAUGACGUUGAAAAAGCUAACCGGAAGUGACCUUUUGUAAACCGGAAGUAGCUAAUUUUUGUAAUAAAUUAUUGUAAAAGUAUGUAAAACCAUAUAUUUUUGGAAUCAGCGUCAAGUAAACUAUAAGACAGUACCGGAAGUAACAUAUUUUGAACCGG
This 654-nucleotide long non-coding RNA is filed under the name Mytilus galloprovincialis (Mediterranean mussel). The record is from RNAcentral. Lineage: Eukaryota; Metazoa; Mollusca; Bivalvia; Mytilida; Mytilidae.